This 253-nucleotide ribosomal RNA is filed under the name uncultured bacterium. Its description in RNAcentral is "partial 16S ribosomal RNA". It matches the Rfam family "Bacterial small subunit ribosomal RNA", at positions 524 to 776 of the family's 1533-position model. The record is from RNAcentral.
UACGAGGGGGGCAAGUGUUGUUCGGAAUCACUGGGCGUAAAGGGAGCGUAGGCGGAUGUUUAAGUCGGGUGUUUAAAACCGGGGCCCAACCCCGGAGCGGCACCCGAAACUGGGCAUCUUGAAUAGGUCAGAGGCUGGUGGAAUUGGAGGAGUAGCGGUGGAAUGCGUAGAGAUCUCCAAGAACACCUAUUGCGAAGGCAGCCAGCUGGGACCAUAUUGACGCUGAGGCUCGAAAGCAUGGGGAGCAAACAGG